RNAcentral lists this long non-coding RNA (233 nucleotides) under Ixodes scapularis (black-legged tick). RNAcentral describes it as "uncharacterized LOC120839205". Lineage: Eukaryota; Metazoa; Arthropoda; Arachnida; Ixodida; Ixodidae. The record is from RNAcentral.
UUCCCCUCGACUCUCGAAGGCGCGAAGCCUGGGUUCGGUUCUGCAACAACCGAAGUCUACAGGGGAAGACUCCAUGGCAGCCACGAGGCAGGGUAGUUUGCUCCUUGCAUUUCGAGGAGUCAGCUCUCCUGCGCCCUGGACACCUCCGUCACAAUGCGUUGCCAAGUGUGCUUCCCACAAAAAGGACGACACAUGGCGACAUUUCCAGCAAAAGCUCUCCAGGUUCAGCAGUU